AAGACUAUACUUUCAGGGAUCAUUUCUAUAGUUUUUAACUUGGAAAUGUGUUUUGAGAUUGAACUGUCUUUCAAGCCACGAUGAAGAUUUGUGAUGCUUUUCUCUGAGCGUGAGUCGAAUACAGAGUAAUGAUUUUAUCAUACACCCUGUGUUAUUGAUGAACGUUUUUCAGCACUUUCAGUGGUGGAAAAGAGAAGAGCAUGAACAGAGUGGU
Small nucleolar RNA from Myxocyprinus asiaticus (Chinese sucker), 214 nucleotides. RefSeq annotates it as small nucleolar RNA U3. The record is from RefSeq and is a predicted model, not a curated record. Lineage: Eukaryota; Metazoa; Chordata; Actinopteri; Cypriniformes; Catostomidae. The transcript has a single exon.